CAAAUUCUGCUCCCCAUGACAUCUGCUGUCCCUUCUUGGACAUUCUAUUGUCUCCUAGAGAGUUCUGGCAUCCUCUGUGAUGUCACCAGUGUUGUAGUGACAACCAGUGCCCUAGUUUCUCUCAGUCUGAGUCUGGCAGUUACAAGCUAAGACAUGUUUUCCCUUCUUCGCAAGCGUUUUGGGAGGGGGAACGUCGAUUGUGGACAGACUAGCAUGAAGGAAUCUUGCCUUUGUUCUCAAAGUAAUGAUUGACAGAGACAGCAAUUCUGGGGAAUGUUUAACGCUGGGAGAGAAACAUCUUCCCCUGAAACUGCCCUAAGCGAGAAGCAGGCCAAGAAGUAAAAGGAGAAGCUGAUUAAAGAGCUGCAGCUCAUUACCGAGGAGAGAAAUGACCUGAGAGAUCGCCUGAGGUUUCUGACAGAGAGAUCUAUGAAAAACAGGCCACACUUCAGGCCAAAUCCAUAUUAUGAAGACCUGGAGAGAAUGGAGGAGGAGGUCAUGUCAAGUCUGCACAACUUAGAGAUGGAGAACACUGAGAUCCAUGAGAACAGCAAUAAGCUGAAGAAGGAGAUGACCUUCUCUAGGUAAGUCCUGGUCAGAAAG
Molecule: non-coding RNA, 603 nt
Organism: Rattus norvegicus (Norway rat)
Lineage: Eukaryota; Metazoa; Chordata; Mammalia; Rodentia; Muridae
Source: RefSeq, a predicted model, not a curated record